RNAcentral lists this transfer RNA (72 nucleotides) under Cordylochernes scorpioides. Its description in RNAcentral is "tRNA-Gln". Lineage: Eukaryota; Metazoa; Arthropoda; Arachnida; Pseudoscorpiones; Chernetidae. The record is from RNAcentral.
AGGUUCCACCGAGAUGUGAACUCGGAUCGCUGGAUUCAGGGACCAGAGUACUAACCAUUACACCAUGGAAUC